CGUUUGCCGAACGAAUCGCUCCUGCUGGCCCCUCUGACUGACUCCUCCGGCUCAUCGUCUUCCGGAAAUGAAACCGGAAGUCCCAACCCUACGCAAGAGGAAAACGGAAAGCCGAAGGAGUCAAUCUAAGGAAGGGGAGACGCGCGUCAGGCUGAGAGCCUGGCGGCGUCUGACCGGGAAGGCCACCUGGCACUUCCAGCGGCUCCCCGAGCGGGUAACCCCCGGGCGAUCCCGCCUCCUCCCUCUCCAUCCCUCCUCACUCCACCCCUUCGCCCGCCCGCGUUAAUUGGUCUUCUGGCUAAUAACUGGGCGGAUUUCUGUCAUCCUUCUGAAUGUAAUCUAUCUGGAAAAUACUUCCUAUCUGGCUCCCAAACCACAGCAAGACCCAGGUAGCCACAUGGCUUGGGUUUGGGUAGAAAACGUGGACCCAUCAAUGAGAGCUGGGGAGACCCAUCAUGACCCGGGGAGGCAGAAAACCACGGCUCUGGACUCAGGCAUCCCAGGGUUGGAAUCUCCUAGAUUCAAUGACCUCAUUCGUCCUCCUCCUCUUCUCACCUGUUGGCAGCUGAACAAUUGACCAAGACACUGCAGGUCUCAGAGAUUCAGCAGGAAUGCAGAUCAGCAAAUACAUCUUCUUAUUUAGUGACUUGGUAAAACUGAUGUUCCAUUGCUCCGAAAUGGUUAUAUUUUACAACCAACUUUUGUUAAUUGACUACUAUGAACACCCUUUUUAAAAUAUAAAUUGGCGUCAGAAACCUCGUGUACAGUUAGUCCUUGGGACCUCUGCCAAAUACAUCAGGUAGGUCCACGGAAUCCGAAAACCUCACAAGAUUCAACCAAAUCUGGCGAGCAUGGACUGUGCUUAAAUAGUGACGAGUACCAAACACCUGCGAAUAUUUAACCAAGAGGACUUGAUGUUGUCCAGCACCAGAGAAGAAGUGGCUCCUUAUGGAUGCCUCAGCGAGGCUGAUGCCACAGGUGGGUCCCGUUUCUGUGACAAGAGGCAGGGUAAGCUGGCCCCAUGAUCCAGCCGUUUUAGACAUGACGCAGCAAGCUUUAAAACUGACAUUUCAAGCACCCACAAAGAGAUGGAAUGUGUGGCACUUUGUUUUUAUUUGGAAUCAUAAGAGAAACAUUUUUAAUAAACCCUUAAAUUCUUCUCCAUUAAUGCUAUUUAAAUAGUGAAUUCAUAAAGACUGAAGUGAUUUGUUUACUUAUACUUAGCUGUAGAAAACUUACAUGCUUUUGUUUAUUUGUUUACACCAUCAAAUCCAAUCGAGCCAAACAAGAUGGUCGACUGACAUGACUGAUGAAUGCAACCUGAGCUGACAGCUUUAAAUUUGGGAUGUGUUACUGAUGUCAGGUUGAUCAGUUCUCUGUCUAAAAUUGAUGCUAUUUAAAGCUUUGAACAAUUUAGAUGUAGUCACUGAGUAAAAUCCCAACGGGGUGAGAGAAAUUCCAUCAGGGCUGAUUCUGCUGUGGUGAAUUUCCAUGUGCGCAGGUGUCAGAGGGAGAGUGGCCUCUACCGAUGGGGUAGUGAGACAGAACAGGAUGCAGGAGGGGCGGUGGGCUGGCGUCACUCGCAGCAAAGGUAAAGAGGCUUAGAAUAAAGAUAGACGCAUCUUCUCACAAGGAAUCCCAAAUGGCAUAAGAGUGUGAAUAUUGGUCAUUUCUGUUUCAAAACUUUUCAAGAAAGGAAAAAGUGAAGGGGAGGCAAGAAGUUAAUAUGUAUCACGCUUCAAUAACUCAUCUGAAAAUGAACCCCCAGGGAAAUCAUGGUAGUCGGUGGGGUAGACCAAUGUUUUUAUUAACAAUAUAAAAGGAAUGUGUGGUGAAAGCAACGGUGACAUAAGUACUGACAGUCAGUGGAUGAAUGAUUAUGUGUCCUGAGCACCUCAGGACACAGCAAACUAGAGCAAUUCCACCAAUCAAAUGGCAAGAGAAGUCUAAUCGAAGAACCAUCCUUGUGCUGGAAGGGCAGAAUGAGUCCAGUCCGGGGACUACUGCGGCCAGACUUGGGGAAAUCAAGUUGUUGAAGGUAGCUGUGACUUUAGAGAGGUGUGCAACAGAGACAUUAAGCCAUUUCCAGUGUCUCUACCUUUAAAAUAGUUUAUUACUGGUCCAAAUGUCCAAAGACAUAUUAAAGAGGGAAAAUAUUAUUUACUGGACAGAAAUUCUCUGGAUAUUUAGAUUCUAUUCCUGUCCAGGGGUGUGAGAGAGGGGAUAUGUCAGCAGCUCAGAUGUAAGCUGGAAGGUUCCCGUCAUUGUUAAUGCAGCUUAGCCAUCUCUAGGAAAAAGGCAGCAAAUAAUUGGGAUCCCUCUAUGUAGUUCCACCUAACAGAAGAAGAAAUAAAGAGAAACUGUUAUUUCCAUUCAAAUAAUGGAGGAAAAGUAGUCUACAAUUUAAACAGGAAGAUUUGAUGACAUAAAUUCAAUCUAAAAUAUGCAGCAUGUCGGAAGGUUACUGAUGUGGACACCCUGUGGUUUGCACACUGAGAGAUCAGCCCCCUCAAGAACCUGCUAACAGUUGAUUUUCUCCUUCUGCGCGUGCUCUCCAUCGUCCACAGUGCCCAGCGGGAGCAUCAUCACACUCUUUUGGAUAACAUCCUGGAAUAUAUUGGCAAUUGGUAUGGUUGAUCCAUCCCGGAUCAUAUCUGGUUCUGUUCCAAACACUGAAACACAGGAAAAGAAGGCAUUGAAUAAAUUAAUGACAAGACUACCCCCAGUGAUCUCCGCAAAUGUGUUCACUUUAUCUUUCUUUCUUUUUUUUUUUCCCAUCAUUAAAUUUGGUGGCUGGGAUAAGUAAGCGUCUUGAUAUCAUGCAAUUUAUAUUCUAAAAUAGUCAAUAGAGUCAAGAAGAAAACUGUGGUUGCCUUAUUUACUAUUAUCUACUUUUAAAAAAUAUUUUUAAAUAAUAUUUUAAACUAACGUUAGACUUACAGAAAAGUUGCAAAAGUAGUACAGAGAGAGUUCUCAUAUAUUCCUUACUCUGCUUUCCCUAAUGUUAACAUCUUAUAUAACUAUUGUACAAUUAUCAAGAAUAAGAAAUUAACAUUGGAUAAUAUUAUUAACUAGACUCAGCCUUUAUUUGAAUUUCACUCUUUCCCUUCUGCUGUACCAGGAUCCAAUGCAGAAUCCCACACUGCAUUUGUCAUUGCUCCUUAGUCUCCUCUUGUCUGUGACUGUUUCUCAGUCUUCCCUUGUCUUUCAUGACCUUGACCCUGCUGAAGAGUACUGAUCAGUUGUUUUGUAAAAUGUCCCUCAGUUUGGGUUUAUCUGACGUUUUUUCACGAUUGGAAGAGGUCACGUGUUUUUGGCCAGAGUACCACAAGAAGAUGUACCUACCUACUUUUAUGGUUGCUUCACGAAUUAAGUAUUAGAAACACUAAUAUUAAAUAUUAGGAACACAUUUCUUUGGUGUUUUGUGUUUCUUUUGUAACCAACAUAUGAAUAAAUCGCUGUACUCAACUUUCA
Molecule: long non-coding RNA, 3474 nt
Organism: Equus caballus (horse)
Lineage: Eukaryota; Metazoa; Chordata; Mammalia; Perissodactyla; Equidae
Source: RefSeq, a predicted model, not a curated record